This 548-nucleotide ribosomal RNA is filed under the name uncultured bacterium. RNAcentral's name for it is "bacterial SSU rRNA". It matches the Rfam family "Bacterial small subunit ribosomal RNA", at positions 508 to 1056 of the family's 1533-position model. The record is from RNAcentral.
CCAGCCGCCGCGGUAAUACGUAGGGUGCGAGCGUUGUCCGGAAUUAUUGGGCGUAAAGAGCUUGUAGGUGGUUUGUCGCGUCUGCGGUGAAAUCCCAACGCUUAACGUUGGGCUUGCCGUGGGUACGGGCAGACUAGAGUGUGGUAGGGGAGACUGGAAUUCCUGGUGUAGCGGUGAAAUGCGCAGAUAUCAGGAGGAACACCGAUGGCGAAGGCAGGUCUCUGGGCCAUAACUGACACUGAGAAGCGAAAGCAUGGGGAGCGAACAGGAUUAGAUACCCUGGUAGUCCAUGCCGUAAACGUUGGGCGCUAGGUGUGGGGCUCAUUCCACGAGUUCCGUGCCGCAGCUAACGCAUUAAGCGCCCCGCCUGGGGAGUACGGCCGCAAGGCUAAAACUCAAAGGAAUUGACGGGGGCCCGCACAAGCGGCGGAGCAUGCGGAUUAAUUCGAUGCAACGCGAAGAACCUUACCAAGGCUUGACAUACACCGGAAACAUCCAGAGAUGGGUGCCCCGCAAGGUCGGUGUACAGGUGGUGCAUGGUUGUCGUC